Long non-coding RNA from Capsicum annuum, 884 nucleotides. RefSeq lists it as uncharacterized. NCBI's taxonomy places the organism in Eukaryota, Viridiplantae, Streptophyta, Magnoliopsida, Solanales, Solanaceae. The record is from RefSeq and is a predicted model, not a curated record. The transcript has 2 exons.
UUUUAUAUUUAUUAUUAAAAUUAAAAUAAUGAAAAAACCCAAUUGAAAGAAUUGGCUCUUCUCUCAAACUGCCCCUCUCAAAUUGAUCUUCUCUAUGAAUAAAAAUCAUCUCUGGCUCUGAAAAUUCUCUCGCCCAAAUCAUAAAUAAUCUGCCAGUUCUUCCAUUUCAAAUGAUUUCUGUCAGACUCUGGCAGAUGAUAGUCAAGACCUGUCACUUAGCCAAGAUCAGAAUGAGAGAAAGAGUUAGACGCGGUUGGUGGUCCGAGUAGGUAUGGGUAUGCUUCUGGCUUGCCACAAGGAACCUUUCGUGAAUUUCAUUCGGAACUAGAAGGCCUCGAUAACACCCUAGAUAAUGAGUCAAGGAAGACGAUUCUGGCUUUGAAGCAACAGACAGUUGAGUUAUCUAAUGAAGCUAAUGAAGCUAAGGCCUCACAGGCAAGGGAUAUAUAGUAUGCGGGAAUUAAGGCCCAAUUCGAUGCAUUACUUGCUUCGGGGGGAUUCCCUCUUGUCCCGGUGAUGCAAUUCGCCCUCAUCGACUGCCUCAGUCUCUAUCUAUUUCACAUGGAAUAUAUGGUCUAUAUAGAGAUAUGACUGGGGAGCCCAGCAGUGAUGAAGAUGAUGAGGAUUAUUAUGUGGACAAUAUACCGCUGCGUUGUUAAUGUUGGGUGUUGUGUUAGAUAAUCUAAACUAUAUACUUUAUGAUGGUUUAUUUGAACUAUUAAGUGUUUUUGAAUGCAUGAAAGCUUUGAAGUAGUCUAGUCAAUAGUACUAUUUUAUAAAUAACUUGACUACUACAUUUCUUCGUUCAAUUUCAAGGUACUCUAAGUUGAUUUUGAUUUAGUGUUCAUUGGAUGAGAUAUUUAGUACUUGUGUUUGUUGUUUGA